Molecule: ribosomal RNA, 468 nt
Filed under: uncultured bacterium
Lineage: Bacteria
Description: partial 16S ribosomal RNA
Rfam family: Bacterial small subunit ribosomal RNA
Source: RNAcentral
GACGAACGCUGGCGGCGUGCUUAACACAUGCAAGUCGAACGGAAAGGCCCUGCUUUUGUGGGGUUCUCGAUUGGCGAACGGGUGAGUAACACGUGAGUAACCUGCCCUUGACUUUGGGAUAACUUCAGGAAACUGGGGCUAAUACCGGAUAUGAGCUCCUGCUGCAUGGUGGGGGUUGGAAAGUUUCGGCGGUUGGGGAUGGACUCGCGGCUUAUCAGCUUGUUGGUGGGGUAGUGGCUUACCAAGGCUUUGACGGAUAGCCGGCCUGAGAGGGUGACCGGGCACAUGGGGACUGAGAUAGGGCCCAGAAGCCUACGGGAGGCAGCAGUGGGGAAUAUGGCACAAUGGGCGGAAGCCUGAUGCAGAAACGCCGCGUGCGGGAUGACGGCCUUCGGGGUGUAAACCGCUUUCGCCUGUGACGAAGCGUGAGUGACGGUAAUGGGUAAAGAAGCACCGGCUAACUACGUG